Long non-coding RNA from Hemibagrus wyckioides, 1914 nucleotides. RefSeq lists it as uncharacterized. The record is from RefSeq and is a predicted model, not a curated record. The transcript is spliced from 4 exons. Lineage: Eukaryota; Metazoa; Chordata; Actinopteri; Siluriformes; Bagridae.
UCAUAGGACCUCUCAAGUGCUGAUGUGAUCUCUGCAAUAAGAGAAUUGUGUUUCUAUCAUCAUCAUCAUCAUCAGCAGCAGCAGCAGCAGCAGCAGCAGCAGCAGCAAGUGGAUAUCCAGACACCCUACUUCCACUCGUCCAGUCGCACACUUCUUUAGUCACUGGCUGAGGAAAGCCCAUAUCCCUCCUCCCAUCCUGACCACCUUCUACAGAGGGACCAUUGAGAGCAUCCUGAGAAGCUGCAUCACUGCCUGGUUUGGUAACUGCACCGUCUCUGAUCGCAAGACCCUUCAGCGUAUAGUGAGGACAGCUGAGAAGAUGAUCUCUCCCCUCUAUCAUGGAAAUUUACUCCACAUGCUGCAUCCGCAAAGCAGACAGCAUUGUAGAUGACUCCACACACCCCUCACACACACUCUUUACCACACACCCCUCACACCCCACACACACACACACACACUUACACACCCCACACACCCCUCACACACACUCUUCACCCUCCUGCCAUCUGGAAAGAGGUACCGGAGCAUUCAGGCCAAUCUAUCUAUCUCAUCAUCUAUCACUAUCACUCACUCACUCAAUUGUGUGAGACUCAACACAUGCAUCUUUAACUCCACCCCCAUUAUACCUGUUUACUUGCUUGUAUUUGCACAUUAUUCAAUUGCUUCUGUUGCUAUUUUUGUCGUUUUCACUGUCACCAACUGCUGCUAUAUAUAUAUAUAUAUAUGUUUACAUAUAUGUUUUAACAUAUAUAUGUUAAAAAGAAACCACUGGUUUACAGUUAUUCAAAUUUGCACAUUUUCCAGCACUAUGUGUCCUGUACUGUACUGUACACAUGUUGCGCUUUAUGUAGCUAGGAUAACUUUCUGUCCUUAGCUCUGUGUUGUCGUUUUUUGUUUUGUAGCUAUAUGUUAUGUUUUUUUAUGUAGCACCAGGUUCCUGUUGAAACGUUUUCUCAUUUACUGUGUCAGCUAUAUAUGGAUGAAAUGACAAGACAAGCUUAACACAAACACACACACACACACACACACCCUAAUUUAUCAUAUCUCCUGCUUAUUGCAAAACAACACACACAUUAGAGUAUUCUCCAGACACUUACCAGUCAUUUCUCCCGGCUCCGCCCUCCUUACCUUAUCACCUUUAGGUAAUGCUGACUGACAAGCCCAGUCUGAUGUAGUCCUUCACAACCAUGGCAAGGAUGGUUUCAGCACUCAGGAGAUCAAUAGUAAAAGUGAAUUGAAUUGAAUUAGGCACAUCUAAUAAUAAGAAGAAUUUUUUUAAAAUCUGUGUAUUGAGAUUUAACUGCUGACAUUAUACACAAAUGUUUAGGACAUCUAUAUAAUCUUAUAAUCUUAAUUUAUAUAUAAUCUUAUGGACUUUACUACAGAAGUGUAAGAUGAGUUUGGUUAAAAAAGUGUUAAACAUUCAGUUCUUUCUCACUAAGGUGAAAACCGCAGCUGGAUUUCCUGUCAGUUUUUUUCCCUCUUAGACAAAGAAAACGUCACCUAAACACACAAACCACACUCUUUCACUCCUCUCACCAGCUAUAUAAACUGAACAAGGUGAUAUCUGCAUUAAUAUCUUUCUGUUCCUGACCAUCAUCUUUAUCAUCAUCAUCAUCAUCCUCCUUGUCAGCAGCAGUCAUGUUCUAUUGUUCUCUCCUGCUGGUUCUCGCCUGCCUUCAGUCCUUCACAAUGGCCCAGAUGGUUUGGUCCACUACCUGCUAUCACCGAUCCCACACACGUUAGUCCAGUAUGAGUGUCUGUGGUUCAGCUGUGUCUCACUGAAGAAAGAUGGCGACACUGAAGGAAAUUCUAUCAUCUUCUUAAACUUCAUUCCUUUUUUCUCUUUGUCUUUAAUUUCGAAAAUGACGUUUUCUAUCUAUAUUUAUAUUUCUGUAACAGUCAGUCUAAAUA